GGCACCGACUAUAUUUUGACUUUCACUGUAAAAGUCAGAGAAUCGACUUUAUCUCGGUACAGAAUAUAUUUCGGCUUUCACUGUAAAAGCCAAACUAUUGACUGUCUCGAUGCAAAAUAUACCUCAGUUUUUCACUGUAAAAACCGACUUCAACUACACUUUGGCUUUCACUGUAAAAGCCAUAAUACCAACUAUAUCUCGGUACCAAACAUAUUUCAUCUUUCUACUAAAAAGCCGAUUAUGCUGACUUAGUCUUAAUUAAGUGGAAUGCUAUACCAAUACGA
Molecule: long non-coding RNA, 284 nt
Filed under: Elaeis guineensis (African oil palm)
Lineage: Eukaryota; Viridiplantae; Streptophyta; Magnoliopsida; Arecales; Arecaceae
Description: long non-coding RNA (EGUI_LNC010949)
Source: RNAcentral